CAGGACGAACGCUGGCGGCACGCUUAACACAUGCAAGUCGAACGGAGUUAUUGGAGCUUGCUUUGAUAAACUUAGUGGCGGACGGGUGAGUAACACGUGAGCAAUCUGCCCUUAAGAGGGGGAUAGCAGUUGGAAGCGACUGAUAAUACCGCAUAAGAUAGUAGUACCGCAUGGUACAGCUAUAAAAGAUUUAUCGCUUAAGGAUGAGCUCGCGUCUGAUUAGCUAGUUGGUGAGGUAACGGCUCACCAAGGCAACGAUCAGUAGCCGGACUGAGAGGUUGGACGGCCACAUUGGGACUGAGACACGGCCCAGACUCCUACGGGAGGCAGCAGUGGGGAAUAUUGCACAAUGGAGGAAACUCUGAUGCAGCGAUGCCGCGUGAGGGAAGAAGGUUUUAGGAUUGUAAACCUCUGUUGACAGGGACGAUAAUGACGGUACCUGUUGAGGAAGCUCCGGCUAACUACGUGCCAGCAGCCGC
Molecule: ribosomal RNA, 479 nt
Filed under: uncultured bacterium
Lineage: Bacteria
Description: bacterial SSU rRNA
Rfam family: Bacterial small subunit ribosomal RNA
Source: RNAcentral